RNAcentral lists this ribosomal RNA (206 nucleotides) under uncultured bacterium. Its description in RNAcentral is "partial 16S ribosomal RNA". It matches the Rfam family "Bacterial small subunit ribosomal RNA", at positions 1294 to 1500 of the family's 1533-position model. The record is from RNAcentral.
CGGAUUGAAGGCUGAAAUUCGCCUUCAUGAAGCCGGAAUUGCUAGUAAUGGCAGGUCAGCAUACUGCCGUGAAUACGUUCCCGGGCCUUGUACACACCGCCCGCCACACCAUGAGAGUUGGGGAUACCCGAAGCCUGUGAGCUAACUUUUAGAGGCAGCAGUCGAAGGUAGAAUCAAUGAUUGGGGUGAAGUCGUAACAAGGUAAC